Molecule: long non-coding RNA, 861 nt
Filed under: Felis catus (domestic cat)
Lineage: Eukaryota; Metazoa; Chordata; Mammalia; Carnivora; Felidae
Description: lncRNA (ENSFCAG00000051128.1)
Source: RNAcentral
CAAGUGCUAGGCGCGCUCACCUUUCUUCCCUGCCCCUCAGUAUCCAGACUCAGGCUGCGCGGUCAGUUAGGGCGGGAAGCCGAGCAGCAGCACAAGCCCAAGCCGUGGGCAGUCAGAGACCCACCGCCUGGGACCCAGGAGUCUGAGCCGAGCCCAGAGGACGCCCAACCUACCCGAGCCACAGGGCGGCGAAGCAGCAGGUGUCUGGACAGCCAGGCAGCCGAGCGGCUGGACAGCGGGGAGGCCCUGGGGACUGACCGGCCCCGCCCCGGCCCGGCCCCGCCCCGGCCCCGGCCCCCUGCCCUGCUCCCGCCUCCGGCCCCCGGCUCCCGCCUGGCUCCGGCUCCCUCCGGCCGCAGCUGCCCGGCCGGCUCAGCGCACCCCGCCUGCGGUCCCGCCGGCCCUCCCCGUCGCGUUGGUGGCGGCGGCGACCGGAACAGGCCCGCCCGCAGCCUCCGAGGUGCCGUGCCCUACAGCGCUGGAGGGAGUUCAGAUGAACUGAGGAAAAUCCAGGUGUUGUGUUGGGUUCAUGGAUGCAGAAGAUAUACUACUAAAAGAAAAGAAAAGCAUGAUCCUUCCUUCAGACAUGUGAAAAAGAUAGAGUUCCCAGAAGACUUCAUCAGCAGGAAAGAAGCUCUAAUAAUGUGGAAUAGAAAUACCAGAAGACUCCUAUCAGGUCAGCUCGCUGCAACAAAAUACCACAAGCUGAGUGGCUUAAAGAGCAGAAAUUUGUUUUUUACCUUUCUGAAGGCUGGAAGUCCAAGAUUGAGGUUGUUGGCAGAUUUGGUUUGUGGUGAAAGUUAUUUUCCUGGCUGGCAGAUGGCCACCUUUUUGCUGUGUCUUCACAAGAUAAAGAAAUAG